CUGUUGGCCAAAUCCUUCAGCUUCACCGUGAUCUUCACUUUGUACUCGGUAGAAGGCUUCAAAUCGCCCAGCUCGAACUCGAGCUGCGGAGUUGCGAUCAGGUCGUUUGGUGGCGCAAAUACUUGCGACUUCCAGCUCGACGCGUCCAUGAAGUCCAACUAGAACCUGUGGCACCGUGAAAACGAGUCGAACGGUGUUCUCGUCGAGAGCCUCGAGGACCUGUACGGUGACCUCGUCCGAGGAGGAAGCAACAGGGAAUCCAGGAAUGGCACCAGGCAAUGGAAAGCCCGCUGGCACGUUGUGCUCCAUACCUAGAUUUCACGAACAAAGAGCAGUGAAUAGAAUUCUUACGGUCGGUCCUCCGCAGGAAAGUUCAUGGUCGUUGACAUUUACUUCAACGGGGAAUCCCUUGCGCCAGGCGCUGCUUCUGCUAAUGGGAUCAACCAUUAUGCCUUGUCCAUGAAUUUCCCAAAGUAAA
Molecule: long non-coding RNA, 478 nt
Organism: Bombus huntii
Lineage: Eukaryota; Metazoa; Arthropoda; Insecta; Hymenoptera; Apidae
Exons: 3
Source: RefSeq, a predicted model, not a curated record